Molecule: ribosomal RNA, 195 nt
Filed under: Triticum aestivum (bread wheat)
Lineage: Eukaryota; Viridiplantae; Streptophyta; Magnoliopsida; Poales; Poaceae
Description: partial small subunit ribosomal RNA
Source: RNAcentral
AUGUUACCCAUAUCUGUUACUAAUAAAACACAAGGGCUGUGUGGGCAAAUGUAUCUUUUUAGUGGUUAUGAUUAUUUGUUGGGAGAUUGGUUUUCAAUCAGAUUCAGGAAUCAUGGAAAUACCUACGUUUUUUUUUUGUACUCUAUCACUAUGAAUGCUGAAUUGUCAGUGGUACCAUUUUAUCUUGUGGUUUGA